Molecule: small nucleolar RNA, 134 nt
Organism: Rhineura floridana
Lineage: Eukaryota; Metazoa; Chordata; Lepidosauria; Squamata; Rhineuridae
Product: small nucleolar RNA SNORA24
Exons: 1
Source: RefSeq, a predicted model, not a curated record
CUCCAUGUUUCCAUGGGACCUGCCAACGUGGCAGCAUCCCUUCCUACUCAUGGUAGAGGAACCGUCACCUUGCCUUUUGGCAUAGCUCCCACCAUUUAAUUGGGGCGAGACUCUGACUUGGGCAAGUAACAGUG